This 308-nucleotide ribosomal RNA is filed under the name uncultured bacterium. Its description in RNAcentral is "bacterial SSU rRNA". It matches the Rfam family "Bacterial small subunit ribosomal RNA", at positions 29 to 334 of the family's 1533-position model. The record is from RNAcentral.
AACGAACGCUGGCGGCGUGCUUAACACAUGCAAGUCGAGCGCACGGAAGGACUUCGGUCCUCGAGUGAGCGGCGAACGGGUGAGUAACACGUGAAUAACGUACCCUCAGAUGUGGGAUAACCAUUCGAAAGGAUGGCUAAUAUCGUAUAAGACCACACUGACUUAUGUCGGAGGGGUCAAAGCUUUAUGCGUCUGAGGAUCGGUUCGCGGUCCAUUAGGUAGUUGGCGGGGUAAUGGCCCACCAAGCCGAAGAUGGAUAGCUGGUCUGAGAGGAUGAUCAGCCACACUGGGACUGAGACACGGCCCAG